UGCGUAGGCGGUCUUUCAAGCCAGAAGUGAAAGGCUACGGCUCAACCGUAGUAAGCUUUUGGAACUGUAGGACUUGAGUGCAGGAGAGGAGAGUAGAAUUCCUAGUGUAGCGGUGAAAUGCGUAGAUAUUAGGAGGAAUACCAGUAGCGAAGGCGGCUCUCUGGACUGUAACUGACGCUGAGGCACGAAAGCGUGGGAGCGAACA
This 205-nucleotide ribosomal RNA is filed under the name uncultured bacterium. RNAcentral describes it as "partial 16S ribosomal RNA". It matches the Rfam family "Bacterial small subunit ribosomal RNA", at positions 568 to 774 of the family's 1533-position model. The record is from RNAcentral.